RNAcentral lists this ribosomal RNA (415 nucleotides) under uncultured prokaryote. RNAcentral's name for it is "bacterial SSU rRNA". It matches the Rfam family "Bacterial small subunit ribosomal RNA", at positions 505 to 918 of the family's 1533-position model. The record is from RNAcentral.
GUGUCAGCAGCCGCGGUAAUACGGAGGGCGCAAGCGUUGUUCGGAAUCAUUGGGCGUAAAGCGCGUGUAGGCGGCUUGGUCAGUCGGGUGUGAGAGCCCGGGGCUCAACCCCGGAACGGCACUCGAUACUGCCUCGCUAGAGUCCCGGAGAGGAAGGCGGAAUUCCGGGUGUAGAGGUGAAAUUCGUAGAUAUCCGGAAGAACACCAGUGGCGAAGGCGGCCUUCUGGACGGUGACUGACGCUGAGACGCGAAAGCGUGGGGAGCAAACAGGAUUAGAUACCCUGGUAGUCCACGCCGUAAACGUUGGGUGCUAGGUGUCGCGGGUAUUGACCCCUGCGGUGCCGGCGUUAACGCAUUUAGCACCCCGCCUGGGGAGUACGGUCGCAAGGCUAAAACUCAAAGGAAUUGGCGGGG